Molecule: long non-coding RNA, 397 nt
Filed under: Mytilus galloprovincialis (Mediterranean mussel)
Lineage: Eukaryota; Metazoa; Mollusca; Bivalvia; Mytilida; Mytilidae
Source: RNAcentral
GUGGCUGUGGCUAUUGAUUGACACAUUAAAUUCAUCCAUUGGCUGGGACAAUUUAGGUGAACGUUUGUAUGUAACGACCACUGCUCACUAUGUACUUUUUAAAGACACUUAAACUAUGGGGUCACCAAAGGUUCACAACACCUUAAUAAAGUAAUUCGAAAAAUUAAUCAGAAAUAACACGAUGUUUUGAUUUAUACUAAUUAUAUAAAUCAAAACAUAAAGGUUAUUCCUGAUUAAUUUUUCGAAUUAUUUUAUAAUUAAAGGCGUUAAGUAACCUUUGGUGACCCCACAGUUUAAAUGUCUAUCGUAGGUACGUCGUGAACAGUGGUCGUUACAGACAAACGUUCACGUAAAUUGUCCCAGUCAAUGGAUGAAUUUAAUGUGUCAAUCAAUGGCC